This 26-nucleotide non-coding RNA is filed under the name Mus musculus (house mouse). The record is from RNAcentral. Lineage: Eukaryota; Metazoa; Chordata; Mammalia; Rodentia; Muridae.
UGGGAUGCCUGGUGGUAGAGUAGGGA